GUAGGUGGCAAGCGUUGUCCGGAAUUAUUGGGCGUAAAGCGCGCGCAGGCGGUUCUUUAAGUCUGAUGUGCAAGCCCACGGCUCAACCGUGGAGGGUCAUUGGAAACUGGAGAACUUGAGUACAGAAGAGGAAAGCGGAAUUCCACGUGUAGCGGUGAAAUGCGUAGAGAUGUGGAGGAACACCAGUGGCGAAGGCGGCUUUCUGGUCUGUAACUGACGCUGAGGCGCGAAAGCGUGGGGGAGCAAACAGGAUUAGAUACCCUGGUAGUCCACGCCGUAAACGAUGAGUGCUAAGUGUUAGGGGGUUUCCGCCCCUUAGUGCUGCAGCUAACGCAUUAAGCACUCCGCCUGGGAGUACGGCCGCAAGGCUG
This 371-nucleotide ribosomal RNA is filed under the name uncultured organism. Its description in RNAcentral is "partial 16S ribosomal RNA". It matches the Rfam family "Bacterial small subunit ribosomal RNA", at positions 527 to 896 of the family's 1533-position model. The record is from RNAcentral.